UACGUAGGUGGCAAGCGUUGUCCGGAUUUAUUGGGUUUAAAGGGUGCGUAGGCGGCCCCGUAAGUCAGUGGUGAAAUAUCGCAGCUCAACUGUGAGGGUGCCAUUGAUACUGCAGGGCUUGAGUGAAUUUGAGGUAGGCGGAAUUGACGGUGUAGCGGUGAAAUGCUUAGAUAUCGUCAAGAACACCAAUAGUGAAGACAGCUUACCAAGCUUCAACUGACGCUGAGGCACGAAAGUGUGGGGAUCAAACAGG
Molecule: ribosomal RNA, 253 nt
Filed under: uncultured bacterium
Lineage: Bacteria
Description: partial 16S ribosomal RNA
Rfam family: Bacterial small subunit ribosomal RNA
Source: RNAcentral